Molecule: long non-coding RNA, 896 nt
Filed under: Heterocephalus glaber (naked mole-rat)
Lineage: Eukaryota; Metazoa; Chordata; Mammalia; Rodentia; Bathyergidae
Description: lncRNA (ENSHGLG00000048101.1)
Source: RNAcentral
GCAAAAAUUCCCCUGACAGGGAGUACUUUUAAAUUUCAAAUCCUUUAGGGGAUAAUUGGCCAGACUGCUCGGCAGGAGCCACAGCAAAAUCCAAGCAGGCAGCUGUGGGACUGCUAUAGCCGGCCCUUUGCUCGGGCCUUUCUGAGCAGGAAGCGAGUCGCUCGCUGCCCCCGGGUGCGGGCGCGCAGGACCAGCAGCUGCCCCCAGCCACGGGCGCGCCACCUGUUUCCGCCUGGGACUUCCCCCAGCCGGCUCCGAAGUGUGGAGUCAGCAGCUUGGCCUGGCCCGGCAUCAGGGGCCCAGCGCAGCCCUACCCCACCGCCGCCUCCCGUGAGGCCCCGCCUGGAAGAGGCGUGGACUGCACCCUGGUGCGCGCGUUCUGGGCUUGGCCUUGAAAAUCAGGAUGGCGAUGACCGCUGAGCAGUGUGAAGAGUGUUCAUCCACCAGACCCUUCCACCAGGCCACCCUGCCUUGGAGCCCACCAAACAUGGACUGAAACCUCCUAAACUAACCAUCUGAGAUGCUUCUGACAUUGUCACGCCACUCCUAAAUACCUGUAUCUCCUAUGAACAAAAUGCAGUCCACUGACACAGUCAUCAAGAAAUGGCAGAGAAAGAAAGAAUCUGGAUUUCCAAGGGGAAGGACAACUGGUUUUACAAACUGCCUCUGCAAACAAAGCAACCAAAGCCUGGAAUUUGAACUUGCUUACUUAGAAGCCUCUACAAAUCCCAGAAUAUGAAAACUGCCUGUCCAUUUGGUUGGGGGGUUGUAUCUGGUGGGAAGGACAUUAGUUGGGUAUGUAGGAUCUAACUUUUGUGCCAAGCUGAGUGACCCUGUGGGCUCAGGUGAAUCACUUCAUUUCUUGAUCUUCAGUGUUCCCAAAAAGUAAACAAGGG